GUCACAACAACUGCCUUGAAAUGUAGAAGGGAAUGUUCUGGAGGAUGUCCAGUCUGGGGGGCUGCGUGUCCUUCUGUGGCUACAGUGGGAGGUGGUGACAGAGCUGGACAAGAGUCACCACUGUCGUACCAGUUGAUAAAGUGGCAGCCUGUGGUGGGGAGAGAGGGCUGAGGACAACAACAUCUGCCCCAGCCUCUCAGGAAACGCCGGUGCCACUAGGCACAGAAGCAUCCACUCCUGCUCCCUUAUCCUGGUCUGUGAGGUUCCUGUCUUUCUCUGGCCAAUUCCACCACCAUCCACCCCGCCCUUUGAGGAAGCAGACACCCCACUGUGGACACCUGGUCCUCUGCCCUCUGUAACUGUGUGCGUGAACAUCUUUGUGCUGGGUCUGUGUCGUGGGAAUGACUGACCCUAAGGAAUCAGAUAACCUUCAGACCUCCAGGAGGAUCCUGAAAACCAAAACCAUCUUGAAGAACAAAAUUCACAGUGCAAUAUCGAAGAAGGCACAAGCAGAUAACUUUGAGAUACUGACCCCAGGUUCCAGCUACUGGACAUCUAAGCGAGAAGGCCAGGUGCAGCUGCGCAUGGGCAAGGACCCACUAGAUAACGAGCCUCCGGUCACAGUUCCCGACUUGAUCAUGAGCGCGGCCACUAAGUACUCACACUACCUGGCGAUCGGUUCCAAGUACAAGAAAAGCUGGCAACUGCUCACCUACAUCGAGUACUACGAGGCCUGCCGGCGUGCUGCCAAGGCCUUCCUCAAGGUGGGUCUGGAACGCUUUCAUGGUGUGGGUAUCAUGGGCAUCAAUUCCUCGGAGUGGGUGAUUGCCAGCAUUGGAGCUAUCAUGGCAGGUGGCAUCUCUGUGGGCAUCUUGAGCAGCAUCUCCCCCAAAGCCUGCCAAGUCAUCGCUGAGACCUCAGAAAUGGAUAUCUUUGUGGUGGAUAAUGACAGACAGCUGCAAAAGAUUAACCAGAUCCAGGGCUACUUGAAGCAUCUCAAGGCCAUCAUACAGUACAGAGAAGAUAUCCAGGAAGCGCAGCCAAAUCUAUACUCGUGGAAAGGCUUCCUGGACCUCGCGGAUGGCAUCUCGGAUGAAAAACUGGACAAAAUCAUCGACACACUGAAGCCCAAUCAGUGCUGUGCUUUGGUAUAUAACCAGGGUACCACAGGGCCCUCGAAGGCCAUAAUGCUGAGCCAUGACAACAUCACAUGGACCACAGCAGCCAUCGUUCAAAGCCUUGGGUUCAAGUGUCCACCUCAGGGUCAGGAGAUCCUCGUGAGCUACCUGCCACUUUGCUUCCCUGGAAUACAGAUCUUGGACGUUUGGGUGGCCAUUUCCGUGGCUGGGACAGUCUAUUUCCCCUCGCUAGACUCAGGGAAGUGGAGUGGGCUGCCACGAACCCCUGGCACGCGCCCCAUCCCGUCCCAUUCAGGGCUUCCUGAUGGAGCUGCUCCGCGAGGUCCAGCCCACCACGUUCUGCGGCAUUCCGUGGGUGUGGGACCGCAUGCUGGACAGUCUGAAGACCAAAUUCCUGGACUCCACCGCCUUCCGCAGGAGGAUCGACCAUUGGGCCAUGCGCAUGGGCCUCCACACCAACAAGAAGCUGAUGAUGGGGGAGAUCCACCAGCCGCUGUGCUUCGGCCUGGCCAAGAGAUUGACCUUCGAGCGCGCCAGGAAGUUCCUGGGUCUCAACCAUUGCCAGCAGUUUCUAAACAUGGGCAUGGGGCUGCCGAGUGGCACGCUGGAUUUCUUCCUCAGCGUAAACAUCCCUAUCAUGGAGUUGUACGGCUUGUCGGAGUGCACGGGACUACACACAGUGUCCAACCUGCAGGCUUACCGGAUACUGAGCGCUGGGAAAGCGCUUCCCAAAACCCACACAAAGGUGGAAAAAGAAAACAAGGAUGGGAUCGGGAACUUGUGUAUCUGGGGCCGCCACAUAUUCAUGGGGUACCUCAGAGACAAGCAGAGCACAGAGAGGAAGGUGGACACCCACGGCUGGCUACACACGAACGACUUGGGCUUCUUGGAUUUUGACAAGUUCCUCUAUGUCAUGGGGAACAAUAACGAUUUGAUCAAGCUGAGCUCGGGGGAAAUGGUCAACCCGUAUCCCAUCGAGGAGCGGGUAAGGACGCGAAUCCCCAUCGUCCGCUAUGCCAUGCUGGUGGGCCAGGACGCCCCGUACCUGUGCGCCCUCCUCACAUUGAAGUGUCAGAUAAAUCCAGAGACUGGAGAGGCUCGGAGUAACCUGACCAGUGAGGUCGUCGCUUGCUGUCGGAAGCUUCGAAGCCAGUCGACCUGGUUGUCAGACGUCCUAUAUGACCGUGACCCUUUGGUCACGGAGUUCAUUAACCAGGGCAUCGAGGAUGUGAAUUCGGAGGCGCCCACAAUGGGUGCCAAGAUCAUUAAGUGGGUCAUUCUAGACAACGAUUUCUCUGUGGAUGGUGGGGAGCUUGGACCCAUGAGCAAGAUGAACAGGUCCAUUGUGGUCAAGAUAUACCAAGAGGAAAUCCAGAAACUCUAUGAGACUUCGACCUCCUAGGAACCCCAUUCACCCUAAUCUUCGUUCAAGCGCCGGCACUUCAUCCCCUUCAUCCUGUUUAUCGGGGGACAAUUUCUACAGUGGAGGGGGGACUCCCUGAGAGGGUCCUGGGUGGAAAGGCAUAUCCCGCUCUCUAGAGUUGGUAUUUGAAUUGUAAAGAAAUUAAAUGUGUUCCCUAAAGUGA
RNA transcript from Mus musculus (house mouse), 2725 nucleotides. It is a transcript of the gene named acyl-CoA synthetase bubblegum family member 3, with no coding region annotated. The record is from RefSeq and is marked validated. Lineage: Eukaryota; Metazoa; Chordata; Mammalia; Rodentia; Muridae. The transcript is spliced from 14 exons.